GCCUUCGUGGUGAAAUGGCAAUCACCUCCCGCUUCGAACGGGAAGUUCCGGGUUCAACUCCUGGCGAGGGCU
This 72-nucleotide transfer RNA is filed under the name Elusimicrobiota bacterium. RNAcentral's name for it is "tRNA-Arg". It matches the Rfam family "tRNA". Rfam says of the family: Transfer RNA (tRNA) molecules are approximately 80 nucleotides in length. Their secondary structure includes four short double-helical elements and three loops (D, anti-codon, and T loops). Lineage: Bacteria; Pseudomonadati; Elusimicrobiota. The record is from RNAcentral.